Molecule: long non-coding RNA, 601 nt
Organism: Magnolia sinica
Lineage: Eukaryota; Viridiplantae; Streptophyta; Magnoliopsida; Magnoliales; Magnoliaceae
Exons: 3
Source: RefSeq, a predicted model, not a curated record
CUACCAAAGGCUUCAACUGGAAUUUCGUGAUGUCACGGUCCAAAAAUCAGGCAAGUCCACUCCAUGUAAGGAUCACCAAAAGCAAGGGCCCCACACCCUUGGCUUAUUAUUAUUAUUUUUAUUUUUCUUACCAAUCUUCAUUGCUUCAAUAUAACGAAGGGUUUCCAUAAUGUUUGACUUGUAUUAUGUAUUUAUCUUUGGUUGUAAGAUGCUUAUUCAAAGUGGAAGUAACUAUAUAGAGUGUAGGCUCAGGGGUCCACAAUGCUUACAUGGAUGCAUGAUCAAAGCUGCUCAUCAGAGGGGGGCUUUGCUGCUUCAUAUGGGGAUGGAUAUGGACUUCAUUCGGGUGGUGCUGACAAAGGUCCUCUAUAUGGCAUGAGUUCUGGUUCUUGGGGUGCAUUUGAGAAGUCUCGCCUCGGGUGUCGCUGAAGUCCGUUGAUUUUUUUUCCUUUUUUUUUCCUUGUGUCUCAAUCUGUAAAUUUUCUGUCCAUUAUGUAACCUUUCAUUCUCAGGCCCCCUAUAAAUGAGGCUGAUUGUAAAUGAUUUAUAGGUUGUGUUUGAAUGCUAAUUUAAUCUUGUACAGGUCAUUUGAUUUAGAAGA